This is a non-coding RNA of Paramuricea clavata, 72 nucleotides long. Lineage: Eukaryota; Metazoa; Cnidaria; Anthozoa; Malacalcyonacea; Plexauridae. The record is from the annotation of a GenBank genome assembly.
GCCUCUGUAGCUCAGUUGGUUAGAAGACUGCACCGGAAUUGCAGGACAGCAGGUUCGAUUCCUGCAGGGACC